UUCCUCUUUUCAUCACCUGUGGAAAAUUGGAGAGAUUUGAAGAGGAGCCUUACCCCAUUCUAAGGAUAGGGUUCCAGUUCUAUGCUUUCUAUACAAACUCUAUGAAUGUCUAUGAAUGACUUUUUAUUGGGACUUGACUGGACCUUUAAAACCUUUAUACGACUUUCUGGAACGGAUCUCUUGGAUCUAGCAUCGAUAAAGAACGCAGCGAAGUGCAAUAAGUAAUGUGAAUUGCACAAUUCACUGUAUCAUCCACUCUUUGAACGCACCUUGCGCCCUUGGGUAUUCCGAGGGGCAUGCCUGUUUGAGUGUCAUUAAAUUCUCAACUUCGAAAGCUUUUUUUGGCUUUCUGAAGCUUGUAUGUGAAUGCUUGCUGGCGUUUCAGAUGUUUCAGCUCCUUGAAAAUGCAUUAGGGGACCCGCUUGAGUACAGCCCUUAAAGUGAUAGUCAAUCUGCGCUACGUGGGUUUGGAUACUCGCUCAUUUUACGCGGCGUAUUUAUCCAUUACAUUCACGGAUUGAAGAGGUGCAUACGUAUGAUAUGCUCUUUCCGUAAGAGGUGACCUGCGGAAGGAUCAUGAUUCAAACCUGCUUUUGUAGACAAUGUUGCUAGAAAACUCAUUUGACCUCAAAUCACGUAGGACUACCCGCUGAAUGCUUAAGCAUAUCAAUAAGCAGAGGAU
This 682-nucleotide ribosomal RNA is filed under the name Marasmiellus sp. BAB-5018. Its description in RNAcentral is "eukaryotic LSU rRNA". The stretch from base 161 to 314 matches the Rfam family "5.8S ribosomal RNA". Lineage: Eukaryota; Fungi; Basidiomycota; Agaricomycetes; Agaricales; Omphalotaceae. The record is from RNAcentral.